Long non-coding RNA from Gorilla gorilla gorilla (western lowland gorilla), 661 nucleotides. RefSeq lists it as uncharacterized. The record is from RefSeq and is a predicted model, not a curated record. NCBI's taxonomy places the organism in Eukaryota, Metazoa, Chordata, Mammalia, Primates, Hominidae. The transcript has 2 exons.
CACCCGCUAAUUUUUGCAUUUUUUUUUUUUUUGUAGGGGUGGGUUUAUGCCAUGUUACCCAGGCUGGUCUGAACUCCUGGGCUCAAGCAGUCCACCUGCCUCAGCCUCCUGAAGUGCUGGGAUUACAGGCAUGAGCCAUUGCACCCGGCCUUGGUUUCUUAAUGUAAUAGGCUGUUCUUUAAUUGUUUCAUAGCCUGCCUACCAACCCCAUCUAAGUGCAAUAUUGUUGGCAGGGCACCUGAUAAUAACUGUUUUACUUAUUCUUUCUUAAAAAAUUUAUUUAUUUAUUUAUUUAUUUAUUUAUUUAUUUAGACAGGGUCUUGCUUUGUGGCCCAGCCUGGAGUGCAUUAUAGCUCACUGCAGCUCUGACCUCACUGGCUCAAGUGAUCCUCCACCCUCAGCCUCCCGAGUAGCUGGGACUAUAGUAUUUUAGUGGACUGAAUCUCUCAGCCUGGCAUUCAAGGCCAGUCACAGUGUGACAUUCCAGCCUCCCAGUUGGAGCUCAGCUAACAACAAGCCAAGUCAGAAAGCUGCUCUGCAAGACUGAUUUGCCCAUUAUACUUCCCAAAUACCCUGCCUUCCUUUCCUGCUUCUGCUUUUGCCACACUGUUUUGGCUUUAGCAGGACAAACCAAGGAAUAAUAAAAUAGCCUGUCUUGUGA